GAUGAACGCUGGCGGCGUGCCUAAUACAUGCAAGUCGAGCGAACCACUUCGGUGGUGAGCGGCGAACGGGUGAGUAACACGUAGGUGAUCUGCCCAUCAGACGGGGACAACGAUUGGAAACGAUCGCUAAUACCGGAUAGGACGAAAGUUUAAAGGUGCUUCUGGCACCGCUGAUGGAUGAGCCUGCGGCGCAUUAGCUAGUUGGUAGGGUAAAGGCCUACCAAGGCGACGAUGCGUAGCCGACCUGAGAGGGUGAACGGCCACACUGGGACUGAGAC
Molecule: ribosomal RNA, 278 nt
Filed under: uncultured bacterium
Lineage: Bacteria
Description: partial 16S ribosomal RNA
Rfam family: Bacterial small subunit ribosomal RNA
Source: RNAcentral